Molecule: ribosomal RNA, 404 nt
Filed under: Actinomycetes bacterium
Lineage: Bacteria; Bacillati; Actinomycetota; Actinomycetes
Description: Actinobacteria bacterium partial 16S ribosomal RNA
Rfam family: Bacterial small subunit ribosomal RNA
Source: RNAcentral
UGGGGAAUAUUGGACAAUGGGCGCAAGCCUGAUCCAGCCAUGCCGCGUGAGUGAUGAAGGCCCUAGGGUUGUAAAGCUCUUUCACCGGUGAAGAUAAUGACGGUAACCGGAGAAGAAGCCCCGGCUAACUUCGUGCCAGCAGCCGCGGUAAUACGAAGGGGGCUAGCGUUGUUCGGAUUUACUGGGCGUAAAGCGCACGUAGGCGGAAUAUUAAGUCAGGGGUGAAAUCCCGGGGCUCAACCCCGGAACUGCCUUUGAUACUGGUAGUCUUGAGUUCGAGAGAGGUGAGUGGAAUUCCGAGUGUAGAGGUGAAAUUCGUAGAUAUUCGGAGGAACACCAGUGGCGAAGGCGGCUCACUGGCUCGAUACUGACGCUGAGGUGCGAAAGCGUGGGGAGCAAACAGG